UACAGAGGUCCCAAGCGUUGUUCGGAUUCACUGGGCGUAAAGGGUGCGUAGGCGGUCGGGUAAGUCUGAUGUGAAAUCUCACAGCUUAACUGUGAAACUGCAUUGGAUACUAUCCGGCUAGAGGAAUGGAGGGGAGACUGGAAUACUUGGUGUAGCAGUGAAAUGCGUAGAUAUCAAGUGGAACACCAGUGGCGAAGGCGGUUGCCUGGAGCUUGCUGACGCUGAUGCGCGAAAGCGUGGGGAGCGAUCCGGAUUGAGAAACCCGUA
Molecule: ribosomal RNA, 267 nt
Filed under: uncultured bacterium
Lineage: Bacteria
Description: partial 16S ribosomal RNA
Rfam family: Bacterial small subunit ribosomal RNA
Source: RNAcentral